RNAcentral lists this long non-coding RNA (659 nucleotides) under Nicotiana benthamiana. RNAcentral's name for it is "long non-coding RNA (NBEN_LNC020356)". Lineage: Eukaryota; Viridiplantae; Streptophyta; Magnoliopsida; Solanales; Solanaceae. The record is from RNAcentral.
AUUGUUUCUAACCUUUGUUGUAUUUGUACUUCCUAUUUUCUUUUUAAUAAUUUACAAGGUUUUGAUUUCUGGUUGUUUUUUGUUAAAUAAGAUGUUAUGUAGAAGUAAAUCUCCCUCUGUUUCCGCAAACUGGAAGAUCAGACUUCACCGUCAUCCUUUAUUACAGAGAUUAUCAAGGCUGGCUCCAGUAAGAGAGCAAAACCAUCUUAUGUAGCUUCGUUUAUCUAGAUAUAUAGUCGUCCUUGGAAGGUUUGGAAGAUUCGUUGGAUAAUAUCAAGUGUGAAAAAUACGUAAAAGCGCUAAGCUCUAAGUCCAUCAGGGUUUUAAGCGAAAAGUGCGAGCUCCAAUGAAAAAAGGUGCAAGCAAAAGAAGUAAGAAGAUUUUGUAGUUUAGGAAUAAUAAUUAUAAGCAGAAGUACCAAAUAUAUAGAUAAAAUUUUUUUGAAAGAAAACUAGAAUGAAGUAAAUUAUUUAUGGUUUAGUGUCGCCUCUGUAGGAUAAUGCUUUUGGCGAUGAGACGUAUGCCUUAAAGCCUUUGUGACUGCACUGAAGCGCUUGCUCGGUAAGGCAAAGUGUUCUGAAUGUUCUGCACCAGCUUUAGGAUUUAAGCACACUAUAAACGAGCCUUUGACAACAAUGUGUUGUAGGGGCUUCAAAAGU